UGAGUUUUUGUGAGCAUGAGCAGCAAACCUCCCUCCAAAAGUGAGUGGCCGAUUUUAUGAGUGUUGAAUGGGUAACCAAAACAAUAAUGUUUCUCUUCCCCUUCACAAGAGGGAACAGAGGGUUUGCAUUCAAGCCAUUUUAAUCAUACCACUAUCAUACUGUGCCCUUUAUCUAGAACUAAAUAUCAGCCAAAGUUUACUUGAAAAUGAUCCUGGGUUUUGCUCAAAUAAGCUAAUGAACCUUUGUGAACUUCCAAGACUGGGCUGAAUUUCAACUUUGGAACAAUACUUGAAGCCAGAAAACCUCAACUCUUCUGGACAUGAAACACUCAAUGUGAUGGCAGGUUUGGGCUUUUUCCAGCGUGAGCAGGGCAUGGCUGAUUCAAGCAAGGACAUCCAGGAUCUACACACAUCUCCAUCAUUGCUCAUGCUGCUUAGAUUUUACAGUUCUGCCGUGCACAAGGUCUGCACAUUCUGUUCUGCGCGCUGCCGAUGUUUCAGCCACGGCUCUCGGUACAACUCACGCUUCUCUUCUGAAAGCUGCUCCAGUAUUGUGCCAUUGUUGCCAGAAGGUCCUAAAUAGGAAACAAAACAAAACCAAACCAAUGAAUCAACUGUGAUAAAACAACAACAAC
This is a long non-coding RNA of Motacilla alba alba, 635 nucleotides long. RefSeq lists it as uncharacterized. The record is from RefSeq and is a predicted model, not a curated record. Lineage: Eukaryota; Metazoa; Chordata; Aves; Passeriformes; Motacillidae. The transcript has 3 exons.